AAAAUAAAGCGAUAUAUAAUUGCAAUCAGUUUCGACCUGAUUUUAGACGAAAUCUAUUUUU
This 61-nucleotide transfer RNA is filed under the name Ixodes rubicundus. Its description in RNAcentral is "tRNA-Arg". Lineage: Eukaryota; Metazoa; Arthropoda; Arachnida; Ixodida; Ixodidae. The record is from RNAcentral.